AGAGUCGAUAACAACCCGAAGCCUGUAGUCUAACCGCAAGGAGGACGCAGUCGAAGGUGGGAUUGAUAAUUAGGGUGAAGUCGUAACAAGGUAUC
Molecule: ribosomal RNA, 95 nt
Filed under: uncultured bacterium
Lineage: Bacteria
Description: partial 16S ribosomal RNA
Rfam family: Bacterial small subunit ribosomal RNA
Source: RNAcentral